GCGAGCGACUCUGGAGAGACCGGAACCAACCGGCGCCGAAGGGGCAUGGCACGCGGCAGCGCGGGCCAAAACUCUCAGGCAAAAGGACAGAGGGGCGCCC
RNAcentral lists this non-coding RNA (100 nucleotides) under Arenimonas donghaensis. Its description in RNAcentral is "Glycine sequence". It matches the Rfam family "Glycine riboswitch aptamer". Rfam says of the family: This family represents the bacterial glycine riboswitch. Glycine riboswitches usually consist of two metabolite-binding aptamers domains with similar structures in tandem. Lineage: Bacteria; Pseudomonadati; Pseudomonadota; Gammaproteobacteria; Lysobacterales; Lysobacteraceae. RNAcentral also lists the same sequence under 1 other name. The record is from RNAcentral.